Molecule: ribosomal RNA, 596 nt
Filed under: uncultured soil bacterium
Lineage: Bacteria
Description: bacterial SSU rRNA
Rfam family: Bacterial small subunit ribosomal RNA
Source: RNAcentral
ACCUACGGGUGAAAGCGGGGGAUCGCAAGACCUCGCGCUAUUGGAGCGGCCGAUAUCAGAUUAGCUAGUUGGUGGGGUAAAAGCUCACCAAGGCGACGAUCUGUAGCUGGUCUGAGAGGACGACCAGCCACACUGGGACUGAGACACGGCCCAGACUCCUACGGGAGGCAGCAGUGGGGAAUUUUGGACAAUGGACGCAAGUCUGAUCCAGCCAUGCCGCGUGCGGGAAGAAGGCCUUCGGGUUGUAAACCGCUUUUGUCAGGGAAGAAAAGCUCCGAACUAAUAAUUUGGGGUGAUGACGGUACCUGAAGAAUAAGCACCGGCUAACUACGUGCCAGCAGCCGCGGUAAUACGUAGGGUGCAAGCGUUAAUCGGAAUUACUGGGCGUAAAGCGUGCGCAGGCGGUUCUAUAAGACAGAUGUGAAAUCCCCGGGCUCAACCUGGGAACUGCAUUUGUGACUGUAGAGCUGGAGUGCGGCAGAGGGGGAUGGAAUUCCGCGUGUAGCAGUGAAAUGCGUAGAUAUGCGGAGGAACACCGAUGGCGAAGGCAAUCCCCUGGGCCUGCACUGACGCUCAUGCACGAAAGCGUGGGGAGU